This 321-nucleotide unclassified non-coding RNA is filed under the name uncultured fungus. RNAcentral describes it as "partial contains 5.8S ribosomal RNA and internal transcribed spacer 2". The stretch from base 1 to 133 matches the Rfam family "5.8S ribosomal RNA", at positions 22 to 154 of the family's 154-position model. The record is from RNAcentral. Lineage: Eukaryota; Fungi.
UGGCUCUGGCGUCGAUGAAGAACGCAGCGAAACGCGAUAGGUAAUCUGAAUUGCAGAAUUCAGCGAAUGAUCGAAUCUUUGAACGCACAUGGCGCCCUCUGGUAUUCCGGGGGGCACGCCUGUCCGAGCGUCAUCACACCCCUCAAGCCUCGCUUGGUAUUGGGCCGCGCCGCUGUGUCGGCGGGCCUCAAACGUGCUGGCGGCGUCGUGGGCCCCCGAAGCGCACAUGGUCCUGCACCGCGCGCGAGGGUGGUCGCGUCGCCCGUCACGGUGGCCCCUCACCUCCAUAUCGACCUCGGAUCAGGCGGGGAUACCCGCUGA